AUGUGUGUUUUCCAUACGGUCACCACAACUGAAAAUUAAAUGAAUUUCCUUGCAUUACAAUCCUGCUGAGACUGCAAUUUCUUGCGUGUCUGAAACAAUUUUCUUUUGGCUGUCCAAUUACCCGUUGAACAAAUUGUGCGAGUUGAAGACUUUCUGGCACUACUUAAAUUACAACUAUAUAGAAAACAGCAGUCAAAAUUAAGAAUGGGAAAACACAAACUGACCGUAACAGUGGAGAUUGAAAUUUCAUAAGGCAAGAAAGAGCGGGAGAGAGAGAUUUAGAAAUAGGGAAACUGGAAACUUCCUUCUCACGAGUUGAAAGUGCAAACCGGAUAUGAAUAUGCAAAAAAGGCAAAAAGGAUAUGAGAAAUGCAAAUAACGAAAUCGAGUUCAAUGCAGAAAUCAUCUGCUAACCAAACGAAACGCAUCUACACGAUUCAGUCAAUUCAAGGGAAACUCAAUGCGAAUGCGAAUACAUAUGUGAGCCACUGUAUAGCCAACUGCUAAUUGUGGCUGGCAACUGUUGGACAAAAGCGAUGGAAAAACUCAUACGGAAAAAUAUGCAUUAAGCGCAACCGCAAAAUAGAAAACCAACAGAAAAGAACACAACAAAAUUAAAAAAAGUACAUAAAAAAAUAUAUGGGAAUUGAGCAGCGGAAAUCGACAGGAAAAAACGGGAUUGCAAAUGUAAAAAUUGAUUUCUGUGGUUUUAACUAACGGAUAUUGUGGCCAAAUAACGGUAGUGCGGUCAACAAAACGAAACGAAAAAAU
This is a long non-coding RNA of Drosophila innubila, 771 nucleotides long. RefSeq lists it as uncharacterized. The record is from RefSeq and is a predicted model, not a curated record. Lineage: Eukaryota; Metazoa; Arthropoda; Insecta; Diptera; Drosophilidae. The transcript has 2 exons.